RNAcentral lists this non-coding RNA (159 nucleotides) under pig gut metagenome. Its description in RNAcentral is "Lysine riboswitch". It matches the Rfam family "Lysine riboswitch aptamer". From Rfam's summary of the family: Riboswitches are metabolite binding domains within certain messenger RNAs that serve as precision sensors for their corresponding targets. The record is from RNAcentral.
AUGAUAGAGGCGCAGUUUUCAUCAGUAGCACUGUUUUUAAAUGACAGUUUAGGUGUGAAAGGGAAAAUUGCCGAAACAAAGUAUGUUCUGUCAAGCUGCUUUGUUGGUUUGCCUGCAUAAUAUGGGGCUGACUGUCACUUUUUGUGGAGCGCUAUCGGU